AAACAAAUAAAGUAAUGAAGAAAAAAACAUACAUGUUUGUAAGUAAAGGGCGCAAAUUGCUCACAUCCUAAGGACUGUAGGACAAGAAAAAGACUGAGGACCUUAGCAAUGGAGCCUCCUUUUAAAGCCUUGGUGUUUUUCCUGUCCUAUUGGCUGUAAGGGGCGGAGCUAACCCAUGUGUAUAUGCUGCCAUGAUUAGCCAGGAAAAUGUAUU
This is a non-coding RNA of Pelobates cultripes (western spadefoot toad), 214 nucleotides long. The record is from the annotation of a GenBank genome assembly. Lineage: Eukaryota; Metazoa; Chordata; Amphibia; Anura; Pelobatidae.